RNAcentral lists this transfer RNA (74 nucleotides) under Streptococcus pyogenes. RNAcentral's name for it is "tRNA-Glu(ttc)". It matches the Rfam family "tRNA". Rfam says of the family: Transfer RNA (tRNA) molecules are approximately 80 nucleotides in length. Their secondary structure includes four short double-helical elements and three loops (D, anti-codon, and T loops). Further hydrogen bonds mediate the characteristic L-shaped molecular structure. tRNAs have two regions of fundamental functional importance: the anti-codon, which is responsible for specific mRNA codon recognition, and the 3' end, to which the tRNAs corresponding amino acid is attached (by aminoacyl-tRNA synthetases). tRNAs cope with the degeneracy of the genetic code in two manners: having more than one tRNA (with a specific anti-codon) for a particular amino acid; and 'wobble' base-pairing, i.e. permitting non-standard base-pairing at the 3rd anti-codon position. The record is from RNAcentral. Lineage: Bacteria; Bacillati; Bacillota; Bacilli; Lactobacillales; Streptococcaceae.
UGGUCCGUUGGUAAAGGGGUUAAGACACCGCCUUUUCACGGCGGUAACACGGGUUCGAAUCCCGUACGGACUAU